Molecule: ribosomal RNA, 278 nt
Filed under: Alternaria alternata
Lineage: Eukaryota; Fungi; Ascomycota; Dothideomycetes; Pleosporales; Pleosporaceae
Description: partial 28S ribosomal RNA
Rfam family: Eukaryotic large subunit ribosomal RNA
Source: RNAcentral
UUUUGACCUCGGAUCAGGUAAGGGAUACCCGCUGAACUUAAGCAUAUCAAUAAGCGGAGGAAAAGAAACCAACAGGGAUUGCCCUAGUAACGGCGAGUGAAGCGGCAACAGCUCAAAUUUGAAAUCUGGCUCUUUUAGAGUCCCGAGUUGUAAUUUGCAGAGGGCGCUUUGGCUUUGGCAGCGGUCCAAGUUCCUUGGAACAGGACGUCACAGAGGGUGAGAAUCCCGUACGUGGUCGCUGGCUAUUGCCGUGUAAAGCCCCUUCGACGAGUCGAGUU